RNAcentral lists this ribosomal RNA (435 nucleotides) under uncultured Clostridium sp. Its description in RNAcentral is "partial 16S ribosomal RNA". It matches the Rfam family "Bacterial small subunit ribosomal RNA", at positions 341 to 792 of the family's 1533-position model. Lineage: Bacteria; Bacillati; Bacillota; Clostridia; Eubacteriales; Clostridiaceae. The record is from RNAcentral. RNAcentral also lists the same sequence under 1 other name.
ACGGGAGGCAGCAGUGGGGAAUAUUGCACAAUGGGGGAAACCCUGAUGCAGCAACGCCGCGUGAGUGAAGAAGUAUUUCGGUAUGUAAAGCUCUAUCAGCAGGGAAGAAACAAGACGGUACCUGACUAAGAAGCCCCGGCUAACUACGUGCCAGCAGCCGCGGUAAUACGUAGGGGGCAAGCGUUAUCCGGAUUUACUGGGUGUAAAGGGAGCGUAGGCGGCGAUGCAAGUCAGAAGUGAAAGCCCGGGGCUUAACCCCGGGACUGCUUUUGAAACUGUGUUGCUAGAUUGCAGGAGAGGUAAGUGGAAUUCCUAGUGUAGCGGUGAAAUGCGUAGAUAUUAGGAGGAACACCAGUGGCGAAGGCGGCUUACUGGACUGUAAAUGACGCUGAGGCUCGAAAGCGUGGGGAGCAAACAGGAUUAGAUACCCUGGUA